AGACCGACCGUGCGCCGGGCUCGAGCGCGGUCUGAGCGCGCGGCGCCUGCGGCGGCGAACGGACGGACGGACCGCGGACGGACGUACUGACCCCAACCCGCGAGCCCCGGGAGCCGUCGGUCUGAGGAGGGGCCGCUUCGCCAUGUCGCCCCGCACCUGCUGAGCCCGGAGCGUCCGAGGAUGUCCGCGCUGAGGAAGGUUUUGCCUGGCAUUCUGCAGAAGCAUUGCUGUAUCUUACCAGACAGGAAUACAGAUGAAGACCCCCAGGCCCAGGGAAUUCGAUCACUGGCUGAGAACUCACAGCUAAGGAGGGGGAGCCUGGGAUUCCUUCCUGGUGCUCACACCCGAGACCCUUUUGUCACUGUGUUCAAAGGCACUGCUGCACAGACGUGAUUCUUCUUUCAACGAACAUCUCCAGGACUUCCUCCGGGGUCUGUGACCUCAUCUAUAAUUAAAGGGAAAGAGAUCUUCCUGAGAUUAGCCCAUUUAACUUGUUUAACUAGAUGCAUGCUGCAAAAACUGUUUUCAAGAAAUGAACAAUUGACUAUUUAAAAAGAGCCAAGCCUUAAAAGAAGACCAGGUUUUAAUAGGGAAAACAUUCAGUAAAAUAUUAUUCUGCAGUAACUUGUGGAAUGACUGCUGUACACACAGCUCUGGGCUGGGUACCUGGAAGCUCACGAGCUUGUUUGGCCUCCCCUCCUGGACACAGGAGGUGUCAAGGCUGUGGUCAGCAGAAUCUACCCAGCUGGACACUGAGUGGACGCCCUGUGGGGUGGCUGUGAAAUGGGUCCACUUUGUAGUGGCAGCAUCCCUGAUAGUACUUCUGAAAGGGACAAGAUAGAAAAGCAAACCAAACUGAAACUGAGAAGUCGUGGAUGAUACCAGGGGCGCACAGUGGCUGACAGGAAGAGACUGCCUGGGGGGUCUCGGAGCCAGUGGCUGGAGUGGAGUUAGUUUGACCGAGUCCUGGACUAGGGAGGGGACCCCCAAAGCAUGCCCAGCAUGGCGCUAGUGGGGCCCAGGCACCCCAUGUCCCAACGACUAGAACCAAUAAUCAGGUUAACACUCAUUAAAUAAGAAGUGUCUGUGCCUCCUGGGAUAAAAAUCCUUUAUAACGAUCUGGGACGCGAGCUCAAGUCCCUGUUCCCUUGUCCUCCACAGCAGUGUGCAGCGUG
This 1175-nucleotide long non-coding RNA is filed under the name Homo sapiens (human). RNAcentral's name for it is "HSALNT0131902". Lineage: Eukaryota; Metazoa; Chordata; Mammalia; Primates; Hominidae. The record is from RNAcentral.